RNAcentral lists this transfer RNA (49 nucleotides) under Loropetalum chinense. RNAcentral's name for it is "partial tRNA-Leu". Lineage: Eukaryota; Viridiplantae; Streptophyta; Magnoliopsida; Saxifragales; Hamamelidaceae. The record is from RNAcentral.
AAAUCCGUCGACUUUAGAAAUCGUGAGGGUUGAAGUCCCUUUAUCCCCA